Molecule: ribosomal RNA, 435 nt
Filed under: Chromodoris cf. striatella QLD
Lineage: Eukaryota; Metazoa; Mollusca; Gastropoda; Nudibranchia; Chromodorididae
Description: partial 16S ribosomal RNA
Rfam family: Bacterial large subunit ribosomal RNA
Source: RNAcentral
AGCCUUUGGAGAGGAUCAAAGGUUAUACCUGCCCAAUGUUAUAAUUAAUGGCCGCGGUACUUUGACCGUGCUAAGGUAGCACAAUCAAUUGGCUCUUAAUUAGGGUCAGGUAUGAAUGGAGUUACGGGGCUUCGCUGUCUCUAAACUAUUUAAUUGAAGUUGCUGUAUAGGUGAAAAAGCCUGUAUUAAGAAAAAAGACGAGAAGACCCUUAGAGUUUUACUUAAAAAAGAGCUAUCUCUUCACUAGUUUUGUUGGGGCAACAUAGGAGAAAACUUAAACCUCCUAAAGUAUAUAAACCGAUGUUUUUAAAUAUGAAUAAACUACCUUAGGGAUAACAGCAUAAUUUUAAAAAUAAGUUUGUGACCUCGAUGUUGGACUAGGAAACUUAAGGGCUAGCCGCCCUUUGGUAAGGUUCUGUUCGAACUAUAAUUCCU